Molecule: ribosomal RNA, 253 nt
Filed under: uncultured bacterium
Lineage: Bacteria
Description: partial 16S ribosomal RNA
Rfam family: Bacterial small subunit ribosomal RNA
Source: RNAcentral
UACGGGGGGGGCAAGCGUUGUUCGGAAUUACUGGGCGUAAAGGGCUCGUAGGCGGCCAACUAAGUCGGACGUGAAAUCCCCAGGCUUAACCUGGGAACUGCAUCCGAUACUGGAUGGCUUGAAUUCGGGAGAGGGAUGCAGAAUUCCAGGUGUAGCGGUGAAAUGCGUAGAUAUCUGGAGGAAUACCGGUGGCGAAGGCGGCAUCCUGGACCGACAUUGACGCUGAUGAGCGAAAGCUAGGGGAGCAAACGGG